RNAcentral lists this long non-coding RNA (43669 nucleotides) under Nicotiana tabacum (common tobacco). RNAcentral's name for it is "long non-coding RNA (NTAB_LNC019152)". The record is from RNAcentral. Lineage: Eukaryota; Viridiplantae; Streptophyta; Magnoliopsida; Solanales; Solanaceae.
AUUGAAAUAUGUUGAACCUAGCCUCUAUUACAUGUUGUGUACUUGUACAAUGCUGAAAAUAUUUGCUUAUUCGUUAUGCUCAGCCUUAUACGAUUUCCUUCCUUAUUUGUCACAUGUUUAUUACCUUUUGAAGUUAACUCCUCAAUUGAAGGGAGUACUUACCUUGAUUUUAUGCUGAUUGAUUCUGAGUCCCCAUAAUUAUCGACGAACUUUGAUUUUUACCUUAUUUGCUUCCUGCUUUCAAACUAUAUAUACACACUCUCUCAUUAACACAAACACACGAACACUUUGGUUCAAAGCCUUCGCUCUCCCACUAAAAGCUCUCUGCCCUCUUUUGUGAUUACUUACUACUGAUCUAAGUUAGCCGACUGCAAGCCAAGGCUAACUAUUGUGCUCUCUUAUAAUUCACUUUUUGUUUGUUGUCACUCUAUUAUAUGUCCUGAUUUCAAUUCAAGUUUCAAACCAAUAUGUUUCAUUUACUGCUUCAGCUUAUCAUGUUUCUGAUUAGUUCCUAUCUAUGGUUCUGUUGUUCAAUGUGUAAUUGACAUGCUUGCAUUAUAGCUUCAUCUGGCAUGCUAGUUCUACUCCCCUGGUAGUCUAUUUCAAUAUGACCCUAUACUGCUUUGAAUACUUGCCUACUUGUUGUCCAAUUUUGACAUGCACUUACUUUGCAACUGAAAUGUCACUUUAGAUAUUUGAUUCUAUGAUUGUUUCUGAAAUUUAUAUUGUGUUGAUAUUACUAGCUAUUCCCUAAUCCCAUAAACUCUCACAAGGAUUGUUAUGCUCACGUAACAAUGUGUUCACCUACAUGACCUAUGUGUCCCCAAAUCCCUUGACCCCUGUUUUUGGUUGCUGAACCUGCCUUGGUUCUAUGAUCUCUGACUAUGUGUGAACCUGUUUUGGGGGUGCUGUGUUUGGACUGUUGUUUACUACUCCACUCACUUUUCAAAACUGUUUGUGUUAUCUUUUACAAAACUAUUUCAAAUAAGUCCCUUUUCAAACUGUUUCCCUGCUUAAAUCUUUUCAAGAACUCUCACAUCUACUCUUAGGUAUUAAGUUCUGCCCCUCUAAUGUAUGACUGCUUAGGGAUCCCUAUAAGAUCUUUCUGAACUCUGAUACAUUAGAGCUGGCACUUCCACACUGCACUACUCAUAUGACUAUGAAAUCUGGGUGUGAGCACUGCCCGGGAUCCCUUGAGGUCCUUAGGGAACUUUGACACACCCGAACUAUAUGAAAAGAUAUGAAGCAAUUUGGCAUUGAGACUUUUGGAAAUCUGGGCCUAUUGGUAGGAUCCCUAUAGAGUAACUUCUUAUUUUUCUUAUCUACUUAUGUAAUUCAUUCGAUAUUGUCAUGUAAUAAUUUGUAAACGAACAUUGGGGUUUGGAUAGUGAAAAUGGGAGGGUAGCUAUGCAUGUUAUAGAUAUCAAAGAGGUAGAAACCAUGCUUUAGAUUUAUAUCCUCCUGUAUCUGCAUUAGAAUUCAUAUUUAUGACCAAUACAUGCAAAUCAUAUCAUAUUAGAAACCAUGCUCCUAGGUUCCAUGUCUACUGCUUUCAGCAAUUCAUUUUGAAAUCUCUAUUAUCACUUAGAAAUCCUAUUUCUAGGAUAAACGACUUUAAAGAUAAACUGUCGCCUAUGAGUUUUGAAAUUAUGCUGCAACCUGUUGUGCAUUUAGAAAUCAUGCUUUAGGAAUUCUGCAUAUAAACCAUUGUGAACUUUAUACAUGCAUCUUAGAUACCAUGCUUUAGGAUCUCAUUCGUACUUGCUCAGUCACAGCUAGUGUAAACCACUGCUUAUGGAAGAUGUAAAAACUGCUUCACAUUUGAUUAUCCUGUUUAAAAUAAACUGGUAAUAGUCCCUGCAUUUUAUAACACUUAGAACAGUAUGCUUUAGGUAAAACAACUCCUUCAUUGUGCUAAUGGUUCUGGUAACAAUUGUGCAUUAUCCUACGCCUAGGAAAGCCGUAGGUAAUCUAAUUUCUUGUAAAACUAGAAACUGCCCCUUUGUAUGUACUGCUUAAUGAUUAACAAGCUUAAAAUCAGUAGGCAAAUUGAUUAGGGCCCCUGCUUCUGAGUUGUAAAAUGAACCUACAUAUCUACUGUGUUCUGAUACUCAUCUAGACAUCAUGUUUUACGAUACUAAUGCCCUUAUCUAUGUUUGAGUUGUGCUGUUUACAUGCCUUAUCUAUGGAGGUAAAACUGAGCCUCUUAUUUGCUCCCUCCUGUUCUUAUUUGCUGAGAGUCCUAUGUGUUAUUGCUUGUCGCCUUAGUAUUUUUUCUUUAAACCUUAGGGGUCGGUCUAGAACUGCCUAUAGGUAGAGGUCCUAAAUCACCUCCAGGACCAUUAAGAAGGGACUGGUAACAGCACGCAAUAGAGAUCGCUGACCAACACUCGCUUUAAUAACCACUAAGGGGUGGGAAGGGUAGAUAUGGAUAUGAUGACUACGCGCUAAUGUCACGUGUAGCCCCUCAUUGAAGAGUGUUUAUCGGACAUUGUGUGGGGUGAUCUUAUAGGCUAACCAACCUAGGACCCCUCUUUUCCCAAAUCCCUUCUAUUUAAAACUUUGUUUUAUAUACAAUUUGUUCAAAACCUUUGUCUAAUUAUUUGAGUUAUACAACAUCCAACGUGCUUUACUUGCAAAUUAUUUGAUUCAACUAUUUAUUUGUUAAUUGACUAAUUUGUGAAUAUAAGUUCGGUCCGUACCCAUAGUUGUGGACCAAGAGAGGUGUCUAACACCUUCCUGUCGAGUUCAUUUCGAGAUCUUACCCUAAUCUCUGGUAAUACCAAACCAAUCCAAGAGUUAAUCAUUCUAGGUGCCCUAACGCACCAUAAUCCGUUAGGUGGUGACUCUUCAAAUACCCAAUUCCCAAAAGGAAAUGAGUUAUUACCACCAUGAAUGUCGAAACCCGGACUCUCUCCGCAAAGGGAAAAAGGGGGCGCGACAUAGUGAUGUCCUAUAAACAUGGUAUCUAUUAUUGAUUAGGCAUACAGUAAAACAGUUUUAAAUGGACAACUUGAGGUACUAUAGGCAUGCUUUCUAGCAAUAUUAUUUAAUGCAGCGUUGAAACUUAUUAAAUAAGUGGACAGAUUAGUUAGUUAAACCAAUUCAGAAUAAACACACGUGAAUUAAAUUGUUUUUCUAACUAAACUGGUUUUAAGUCCUAUAGGCAUGAUUUCUAAUUGAGCAUAAGGUGAAACAAACAACAAUCAUUUAACCAAAGUGAAAUCCCUAUUGGCAUGAUUUCUAUUAGAGCAUAUUUAAACCCUAUAGGCAUGGUAUCUAGUUAUUAAAAGCUGAUUUAGAUUCCUAUAGGCAUGGCUUCUAAUUAUGUGGAAGUUAAGCAAACAAAACUUAUUUUAAACCAAAUCAGCCUAUAGGCAUGUUAUCUAAUACAUUUGAAUCAACAUAAACCCUAUAGGCAUGGUAUCUACCCAAUUUUACAAUAUAUAACUACCCUCCCCUUUUCACUAAUCACCCCACUGUUUGUUUAUAAUAAUUAUUACAGACUAGUGAAUUGAAUAAAAAAAGAAUGGAAAUUAAUAUAUAAGGAUCCUGGAGUAGGCCCAAAUUAUUUCCAAACCUCUAGUAGUCUCAAAUACACAAUGUUCCAUAGCCAAUUUCAUGUCUAGGUGUGUCAGAGUUCCCUAAGGACCUCGAUGAUCCCAGGCAGUGCUCACACCUAGACCUGUGUCAAAUAGUAACUGAUUUAGGUGCAGUGUGGAAAUGUCAGCCCUGACAUGCCAGAGUUCAGAGAGAUCUCCAGGGUCUCAAGGAAGUACACAUAUUAGAGGGGCAGGACCUAGUAUUCUAAGAGUAAGUAGAAGUGCAUGAUAGUUUGAAAGACUUUAAUAGAAAGGUCUUAGGACUAAAAAGAACUUCUGAAUAGAAGUUUCAAUUAAGGAAACAAUCAAUAAGAAUCAGCAGAUAACAAAUAAGGCAAGGGAAAAACUAAUUAAGGCAAUAAAUUCAAUCAAACCGAGUAGAGAGGUAAGAAUCAAAAGUUUUGUUUAAGGAAAAGAGUUCAAAUCAAACUGGGAAAUAAGAACUUCAGAAUAGUCAAGAGUUCAAUCAAAGAGAAAAUCACGUCAAGAGUCAGCAAGUUUCACAGACAACUUAAAUAAAGUAGGAAAGAAUAGUCAGAAUGAACAUACACAUAUAGAAUCAAUGGAAAAGUUGAACUAAGAAACUCAAUAGAGGCAUAUUAGGAUAAUAAAACUAUGAGACAUUCAGAUGGCUGAAGAGAAAUCACAAGAACCAAGGCAAGAACACAGUCAAUACACCAGUACUCAGAAACCAAACAAAGAAUGUCAAAAUUAGGGCUUUUAGUAUAAAUGAGUUAAGGUUGUAGAAAACUUAUGAAAUCAGUCAAAAACACUUAAGAAGCGGAAGAUUAAACACUCAAAAAUCAUCAAACAUUUCGGAAAAGAAAUUUCUGAAAACCCUAGUUUAGAAAAUAAAGAAAAAUCAUUCGAAAAUCACACGAUUCUUGUAAAAACCAAAAGGCUCUUGUAAAACUCAUAUGAAAUAGGUCUAACCAUCUCAGAUCUAUACGGAUCUAAGAAGUUUAGAAGAAAGAAAUUAGGGUUUCGAGAAGAAUAAUCAUAUAGAUGAAGAAUCAAACCUAGAAACCCAUAGAUGUAGGAAUAUCUCGCUCGGAAUCAAACCAGGACAGCUUGAAACAGGCGAGAAAUGGCCAUAGAUGCAAGCAAACUAACCCCGGUCCCUUGAGGACCCUGAAGAUGGUGAUACCAGUAUAAGAGAGGCUAAUAGAGGCCUGGGGGUUGUGAGGAACAACCAUAGAUAGCCAUAGAUGAGUGAAGGCGAGGUCCGAUUAGGGUUAGGUUUGAGAGAGUUUGAGAGAGGAGAGAGAUUUCAUGGCGGCGGACAGUGGGAAAUGAAAGGGUUUGGGGGGUCGUUUGGGACUAAAAAAGGAAGGGACUGAUUGUGGCCGUUGAUUUAUAUGAUCAACGAUCGAGAUUAAAAGGGUUUGGGGCCGGAUUGGGUAUUAGGGUUUAGGCUGGGUAGGUUUAAAUUGAAAUUGGGCUGGUGCUGGGUUGAAUUAGGACCAAAAUUGAAAUACAAAAUAGGUCAGAUUUUAAAUAGCCACUUUUAGUAACUACAUAAUUUAUAAAAACAAUAAAUGAGUUCAAAAAAUAUUUCGUGUAGUAAAAUGAUUCAAAAAUAGUUAUUUAACGUUUUAAAAAUAUAAAAGACCAUUUUAUGCAUCAAUAUUGUAAUUAUGCAUUAGUAUGGUCUAUUAUUGCAAAGAUGUGCAAUUUAGCAUAAAAACAUAAAUGCAAUUACAAAAAAUACACUAAAAAUAUUUAAACACUAUGUUGUAAUAAAUAAUGAAUUUAAAUGGCUAAAUCACAACAAAAGGAUAUGAAGGACAAUUAUUGGAUUUUUUAUAAAUAAAAAAGAGAAGAAAUAAAUUGAUUUGGUGCUUUAGAAAUUAUAAAAAAAUUAUAAAAAUGCUUAUGUAUGCUUAUAACUACAUAUGUGCUAUUUUGAAAGUAUAUAUAUAUGUAUUAAAAAUAUAAGAAGAAAAAUUGGGUAUCAAAAAUAUGUAUAAACACCAGUUGACUUCCCUGUAGUUUGCUCCCCCUCAAUAGGAGCAGUAAGUAAUUUGAGGUGCAUGUAGUCGACUGCAUCAGUUGACUUCUCUGUAGUUUACUCCCCCUCGAUAGGAGCACUGAGAGGCUUGAGACGCAUGUAGUCGACUUCUUCAGAAUCUAUGACUCCCCCUCAAGGAGUGUUAUAGUUGACUUGUUAUGUACCUACACACAAUACAUAUAUCCUUUCUCCCCCUUUUUGACAUCAGCAAAGAGGGAAUAACACGACAGCAUGCAUAAAUAGAAUCCAUAGCAGAAUGUACUGGUAUAGUUAGACCAUAAAAAUGAAGAAAGAAAAAUAUCCACAGACUGAUAUCUCAGCCCAAAAAAUAGCACAGCAAAAAUAUUGUCUUAAACUUCCACAAUAACAACGUAGAAAAUAGGAAAGAGUGUUGUAGACAGCUUCUUCAGUCGAUCAAAGAUGGUGUUGGCUGAGACACUCAUUCCAUCAAGCCUGUCAAGAACCUCCUUGAAAGCCUUGACAGCGUUUUCCCUAACUCUGAGAACUGCAACCCAUAUUUUUGAGACAUCAGACCCUAUUUCCUUGGAGGUAGCAUGAAUGGUACCAACAAUGAACUGGGUGGCAAUGAGGAGAUCCUUGAUUGUAGAGAGCUCUUUGCCAAUGGCGCUAAUUUUCUCAGAUAGGUCAGAUCCACUUAGGCUAGGAUGAGAAGCAGAAGGUUUGGGCUUGGAGUCUGUAUGGGCAGUCUUGACAUCACUCUCCUGUUUCUUGACCCAUAAACCCUUCACACACACAUACCCCAUAAUAGCAAAGUAUCUAGAGUUGUAUGAUUUUGAAACAGUAGUAAAGGAGUAUGCAGAGAGGGAAAUGUUGUGGGCUUCCAGAAUGUGGGUGAUGGUCAUUCCAUAGGGUAGACUAGUGGGAUCUGCGGCACUUUCAAUCAUGAAAUUGAUAACCCAGGAAGACAACUUGAUUUUGAGUUUGGUCACAAGAAAGUAAACCAGAAAAGUAUCUCGUAGAGAGAAGGUUGAGAAAGAGCCAAUACGGAAAAGCAGAGUAGUUUCCAUAAUGUGAGCUAGAACACGAGUUUCAAAACUAACAUCACUAGGACCUAGUUGGUUUGGAAGGGAUUCAGAUGGACACUCAGCAAUACAUCUUUUGGCUUGAUCAAAAGAAAUUUCAAAAUCAUCGGGCCAGGAAUUCUUAAAGAGCAUAGGGAAACCAGAACACUUGCACUGAAAGAUUGAAUCAAACAUGGAAUAGUCAAGAACAAUACGCUUUCCUAGUACUAAGGAUUCCAACUUAUCAGACAUACUGGAAUAAAGAUUUCGAUAGAACAUUCUUACUAGAGGUUCAUAGACAUUAGGAGGAGGAACAGAAAAGAACUUUUACCACCCUUGAUAAACAAAAAGGUCCUUUACCUUACAAUUUAGGGCUUCUAUGUCAUCAAGGUCGACUACCCUCCCAUGAGCAAUAGUCUUGUCUGAUAGGGCAAAAAAGAGGUCCCUGUUUGGAGAAUCCCAAAAAUUGAGUUCCGACUCAAGGGAAUUGGAAAGGUCAACUUUUGAUUUCUUUGGAGUGGUGGAGACAAGGGAUUCUUCCGUGGGUCUUUUACCCAUGGAUUUUUCUCCUAAAGGUUAAGAAUUAUCAGAGAAAUCCACCUGAGAAGAGGCAAACCCCUCAGAGUGAUCGGACCCUAGGUCUACCUGUUCAGGGGGUUGAGAAGGGGGUUUUCCCUUGGAGCGGGUGCUCUUUCUAGGGAGGCAGAAGGAGUUUUAGAUUGUUUAGCCAUUGUAGGAGGUUGGUGGUGGAGCAAGAUUUCGAAGAAGGGGUAUAUGGGCGAUAGAGACAAUAGAGAUUGGUAUGAGAAGACAGCAUAAAAAGGGUUUUCUAACAGUUGUGUACAAAAAAGGAAAAGGCGUUAGUUGAUCAGACGCGAUGGUUGGUUUUCCUUUUUUGAGUUCUGUGACUGAUGUGAAAAGAGACGAAAAAGGAGGGAAAAUGGAGGUGUAAUUAAUGCGUAAAAAGAAUGUGGACUUUUCUAUAUAUGAGAUUAAAUAAUGACACAAAGGUCCUACUAUUAGCUAUUAAUGCAAAUAAUUCCAAGAAGUUUUCUAAGUGAACAAAAUCUUUCUUCUAAUAAUAGCUUAGUAAAGAUAUCUGCUAGUUGAUCAGCUAUUCCUACAAAGGAUAUUUUUAUAACCUUUAAGAACAUGAUCUCUAAUAAAGUGAUGUUUGAUAUCAAUAUACUUUGCCCUAGAAUGAUGAACAAGAUUUUUAAAAAGACAAAUAGCACUUGAAUUAUCACAAAAAAUUUGUAUAAGUUUAAAAGAAAGUUCAUAGUCACCCAAUUAAUGGGACAUCCACAGUAAUUGUGCACAGGAUUGUCCAAUAGCAAUGUAUUCAGCUUCAGUGGUAGAUAAGGCAACUGAUGCUUGUUUUAUUACUGUUCCAGGAUAUCAAUGCCUUUCCAAGUAAUUGACAUGUACCACUUGUGCCCUUUUCUAUCUUCCUUAUCACCUGCAAGGUCAGCAUCUGGAAAACCUUCUAAUUAAAAGAGUUAGAGCGAGGAUACCAUAAUCUAUGGGAGAAAGAAGGCUCUCUUAGUUUCUUAAGACCCCAAGAAUAUCAAGUUCAAUCAGCGACAGUACUCAUAAAUGAAAAGAAAAGAACAGUAAGGAACCCUAGGCUUUUUGAACUCACAAUUGCUCUUAGAUGAUAUCAGUGUUAGGUUGGCAUUCGUGUCUUUGGUGAGAGUAUUAAAGGCCCUUUUAUAGUGUAAUUAAGGCUAUAUGGGUUGUCAAAUUCAAACCAGUAGUGGAGAGUGACAUAUGGUAAAUGAUGAUAGCAAAUCGAGUGAAAAUCAGAAAGUAACAGAGGGGGAUUCAUUGUUGAGUUUACAUGAGAUGGGGAAUCGAUUGUUGAAGGCUUUGAACCAACGGACAAACCCUAAAACCCAGAGGUCACUGUGUUUGAUUUCUGAAUAUAGAAUUUGAUGAUGAAUCUCUGUAGAAAGUUCCAUGAAUACCCCGAUUUGGCGGAGCAUAAGAGGAUUUGAAGUUACACGUUUAAGAUAGGGUUCUAGAUUUUUUGCAUUUGAAUUUGAUCGAUGAAAUAGAUAAGAAACCAACGAGAUUCAUGGAUUCAGAACGCAAAGCAAAUACAUUUUGGUCGAUUUGUGACCUUGCACGAAUUAGUCUAAGGUUUUUGGAUUGAUUUGGUUUAUGAGGUUGAGAGAAAAGAGAGAUGAAAGAGAAAGAGAGGCGGCGAGGUCAGAGAUGAAAUAAUUUAGGGUUUGGUUAAUUGGGAGUUGGUCUCUACGGUUAAUGGGAUGGUCUCUAGGGUUAAUAAUUUAGGCGGCAUAACAACUAUAGGAACCGCCGCCCGCUCCCGAAUCGAAUAAAUUUAGCCCUGGGGUAGAAGCGUAGGAAUCCUAUCAGGUGCCAAGAUAUUUCCAAGUACCAAAAGAGAUGGAUACAACAAAAUCCACGGCGAAAGAGCUGGAGCAAGUUGCAUUGUUCGAAGAAUUCUUAGAAAGGCAAUUCCACUUGGGAUAGGACUGCACCCGAACUUAGGUCUGGCUUUAUUAAAUUUCUUAAUAAAGCCGAUUGUUUUGCAUGGUCGCAUGCAGAUACGAUAGGUAUCCCGAUAGAGAUAGCCAUACACAAGUUAAGUUUGGAUCCCAACAUACCUCCGGUAAGACAAAAUAAUCGCCCUAUUGCAGAGGCCAGAAAUAAAAUCAUGAAAGAGGAGGUAACUCGCUUACUUAAUAUCGGUUCGAUCCGAGAGGUAGAGUAUCCAGACUGUCUAUCUAAUGUAUUUGUUCCUAAGAAGACCAAUAAAUUUUGCAUGUGCGUAUAUUAUAAGGACUUGGAUAAGGUAUGCACGAAAAAAUCGUUCCCAUUGCCAAACAUUGAUCAAAUGAUCGAUGCGAUGUCCGAGCAUGAGUUAAUGCAUUUUCUUGAUGCUUAUUCUGGAUACAACCAAACUAUGAUGAACCCGGAGGAUCAGGAAAAGACUUCGUUCAUAACAAAUUUUGGCACAUAUUACUAUAAUGUGGUGCCCUUCUGGUUGUAAAAUGCUGGAGCCACUUAUCAGCCGCUCGUAAACAAGAUGUUUGAAAAACAAAUAGGAAAAACUAUGAAAGUUUAUAUUGACGAUAUGCUUGUUAAGUCUUUGAAUGCAGGUGAUCACCUUAAGCAUCUGCAAGAGACUUUGACAUCCUAAGGAAGCAUAACAUGAAGCUUAACCCCGAUAAAUGCACGUUCGAGGUUAGCUCGGGAAAGUUUCUAGGAUUUCUGGUGUCACAAAGGGGGGUUGAGGUGAACCCCGAUAAGAUCAAGUCCAAAGAAGACAUAUCGGACCAACUGUCAAGCAUGAAAGAAGUUCAACAGUUCACGGGAAGAUUGGCAGCUUUGAGCAAGUUCAUUUCCCGGUCGUCAGAAAAAUGCCAUCAUUUCUUCGCAUUGCUCAAAAAGAAAAACAAUUUCAAUGGACCUCGGAAUGCCAGUAGGCCUUGAAAGAUUUGAAAAUAUACUUGUCAAGCCCUCUUUUACUUUCAAAAGCAAAGGAAGGUGAAACACUAUUGGUCUACCUCCCAAUAUCGGAUGUAGUUGUAAGUGUUGUUCCAGUCUAUGAGGACGAAGGUACACAAUCUCCCAUUUAUUACGUUAGUAAAAUUUUAACGGGAGUGGAAACUCGCUACCCGCAUUAGGAGAAGUUGGCCUUAGCUCUCAUAGUCAUCGCUCGGAAGUUGAGGCCCUACUUCCAAUGUCACCUGAUAGCUGUGGUGACCACAUUUCCCUUACGGAACAUCCUUAACAAACCCGAACUCUAGGGUAGGUUGGCCAAAUCGAAAUGAGUGAGUUAGACAUAUAAUAUAAACCAAGGACUGCGAUUAAGUCACAAGUCUUUGCUGGCCGACUUUAGUCCGGGAUUACCGCCUCUAGCAAACAAAGAGGCAGUGAUGGUGUCGGAAUCGACAUUAGGAGUUUGGACCUUAUUUAUGGAUGGAGCCUCCAACGUGAAACAGUUCUGGCAUGACAUAGUAUUAACCACGCCUUCGGGAGAAACCCUAAGGCAAGCCAUCAGAACGGUUCUUUUAACUAACAGAGAAGCAAAGUAUAAGGCUUUUAUUGCAGGACUCGAACUAGCCCGGGGACUAUAUUCUGAGGCCAUAGAAAUUAAGUGCGACUCACAGCUGGUGGUAAAUCAGGUCUGCGAGAUCUUCGAAACCAAAGAGAGGCGCAUCCAACAAUAUGUGAUAAAAGUUCAGGCUUUACUAGCAUAAUUUCCGGAGUGGUCGAUUACUCAAAUCCCGAGGAAAGAAAACACAGAAGUAGAUGCACUAGCUAAACUCAGUUCAUCAAUAGAAAUGAAGGGAUCAGAGUCUGGAACGAUAGUAUAACUGAUGCACUCGAUCCUGGAUACAGAUAGCUACAAUAGAAAUCAUCGAUUAUCUCAAGCACGGGAAGCUGCCCGAAGACUCCAAGGCAUCUCAGGUGCUGCGCACCAAAGCAACGUGAUAUAGCUUCAAAAGAUACCAACUGUACAUAAAAUCUUUCCAAGGCCCGCUGGCCCAAUGUUUGGGGAAAUCCGAAGCUAAUUAUGUUAUACGAGAAGUCCACGAAGGGCUAUGCAAAAAUCAUUCGGGCGCGGAUUCCUUAGUACUAAAACUGGUAAGAGCAGGAUAUUAUUGGCCCCGCAUGGAAAAAGAUGCCAAAGACUUUGUACAAAAAUGUGAUAAGUGUCAAUGCUACACAUCACUGGUACGUCAACCGGCAGAGCGACUGCAUUCGGUUCUGUCUCUGUGGCCAUUCAUGAAAUGUGGAUGGAUAUCGUCGGACCAAUGUUGUCGCUCCCAGUAAGGUAAGAUUUCUUUUGAUUUUAACUAACUAUUUUUCUAUGUGGGUGGAAUCAAGUCCUUAUCAAAAGAUUGGAGAACGCGAAGUGGUGGAUUUUUUGUGGGAAAACAUAAUUUGCAAGUUCAGAAUACCAAAAGAGAUAGCAUGCGAUAAUGGGCCACAAUUUAUUGGCGCAAAAAUCACAAAGUUCCUCGAAGAUUUGAAAAUAAAGAGGAUCACAUCUUCACUCUACCAUCCAAGGGCAGAUAGUCAAGCAGGGUCAAUGAACAAAGUGAUUAUGCAAAACCUCAAGAAAAGGUUGGAAGCGUCUAAAGGUAAAAGGUCCAAGGAACUACCCGGAGUUUUAUGGGCGUACUGAACAAUGGCCAAAUCAAGCACAGGAGAAACACCCUUUUCCCUUGUGUACAGAGUAGAAGCCUUAAUUCCAGUGGAAGUAGGGGAACCCAACUUGAGAUAUUUCCAAGCAAAUGAAGAGUCAAACUACGAAGCAAUGUUAGUAAACUUGGAGCUACUAAAUGAGCGCAUGGACUUGGUGCAUAUAAGAAUGGCAGCCCAAAAGCAGAGAAUGGAACGAUAUUAUAAUCGAAAAACCAACCUCUGUUAUUGUUACAUCCUAUAUUUUAAUAUUAGGAUGAGUCAUAAUAAUCCAUAUGAGCUUGAAGUGAUUAAGACCAUUCAUAAGGUUAUAGAGAAUUUUUGACUAUGUUAUUAUAAGACUCCAUAAGUUUAACAACAUUGAUACCAUUAUGUACAUUUGAUAUGGUAUUCUGAGUGAAACAUUUUUGUAAAAAAAUUUGAAACAUAUAAUUUUAUAUAGUAAUUAAUAUUACUUUUUCGAAUAUGCUUUAAAUUAUAUGCAUAAUAUGAGAAAGUUUAUGAAUUUUCUUUAUUGUAAAGAUAGAAAUUAGUUUCUCACAAGAAAAGAAGGUUAUCUUUUUACCAUUUUAAGAAUUAAGCAUAUGAAAAUUUGUACUCUUUAUAUGAGAUUAGGAAAAUUAUAAGUUGAGAAAAUAUAUAUAUUUUUACAUGAAUAUUUUAAUGAAAUAAUAGUGUAUGUAUUGAUUUUAUAUGGUACCACAUGACCAUGAUAGUAAGAUGUAUAAAUUGUAUUAAAAGUGAGUAGUAUUUUAAGUAAUUUGAGAUAAUUCUUAAUUACGUGUGUAAUUGAUUAAUUAUUGGUUAGUGGGAGAUUAACAAGUUAAUUAACAAUUAGUGAAUGAUUAAUUAGGAUCUUGGAUAAAGCCUAAAAGGCCUUAACGUGGCAGCCAAGAGAGCCAAGGAUUGUGACUCAUUAAGUCCAUAUAUAGGUGGUACAUAUGUGGCUUAGUCAUAUAGUAUGUAGGCCCACACCCACAAAGCUUUAAAACAUCUCUAAUUCACUUUAGGAGAUGUUGAUAUGUCUAUCAUAUGAGAAAGGAAGGUUCCAGCCAACUCAAACAACAAUUUGCAUCUUAGUAUCUUAAGUAACGUUAUUUUUUUUGAAACAAAAUUCAAGCAAGUCCUUUUAGCAUCUUAGCAACGUGAGAUAUUGCAAUUUUGAGGGAGUAUGGUGCAAUCUUUCUCAAAAAUAUCAUACGGAUUUUCCCCUACUUUGAUCUGUCGUUGUGUGCUUUUUACAAAAAGACGUGUGUUAGAGGGAUUGUCAAGAGAAUCGGCUCAAGUAUGUUAAGGCUAGUCCUUCUUUCUAUUGGCAUAUUCCAAGUAACGAUACGAAAACGUAAUGACAUUCCAUAACGGUUCUACUCUUAGAAUUUAAGGAUGUCUAUGUUAUUUAUUCCCGUAAAGUGAUAUUCAAGCAUGUCUAAGUAUGUAUCUAGUUCCCUAUUAAAGUAUUUGAUAAAGAUGUUAAUGUUCAUAAUGGUAUUAUAUGUAUGAUUAUUUACCACAAAGCUACGGCCGGUCGGGCAGUCAUGCAUUUACCACCAAGCUAUGGUUGGUUGGGAAGUUGUAUAUUUACACCGAGCUACGACCGAUCGGCUAGUCAUGCAUUUACUACCGAGCUACGACCGGUUAGGCAGUUACAUAUUUACCAUAGAGCUACGACAGAUCAGGCAGUCAUGCAUUUACCAUCAAGCUACGGUCGGUUAGGAAGUUACAUAUUUACCAUCGAGCUACGGUCGGUCAAGCAGUCAUGCAUUUACCACCGCGCUAUGACCGGUUGGGCAGUUACCACUGAUCAGUUGUGUAGUCAUGCAUCAUAAGAUAUGAAUAAUAAUCCCAAAGAGAAGCAUUAUAUAUAUAUAUAUAUAUGUGUGUGUGUGUGUGUGUGUGUGGUGGCACUUCAGAGAUUCAGGUUGAUUCUUAUAUGUCUUUAAUUAAUAUUCACUUAUUGUCAUAUUUCAGUUCCGCCUUACAUACUCGGUACAUUAAUCGUACUAACAUCAUUUUGUUGGGGAGUUCCAUUCAUUCCUACAAGUAUAGAUAAUUAGUUUGAUGAGCCCUCAUAGUAGACGAGGUUAGCAUUCAGCGAAGGAUCGGUAAGACUCCACCUCAUUCGGAGUGCAGCCGUGUCUAUGAGUUGUCGUGUCAGAAUUUUGCUACAGACUUAUGGGUAGGUUGUUGCCCUAUCCUAUUUGAUGUCUAAUACUCUUAGAUUCUUUGUAGACAGAGGUUCAUUUUGUACAGUAUGUCAGAGUCCUUGACGGCCCAUAUGUAUUCACGUUUUAUGAAAGAUAAUUCAUUGAUACAGUGUUUUCCCACUUACAGUUAUACAUUACGAGUUGUGGCACACUUAUAGUUAUAUGUUAUGAGUUGAGGCCAUGUUGGCCCAUCAUAGUUACAAAGAAAAAAAGAGUUGCAGAGUGGUUCGCUCGAUCCAGUACAACAUUGGGUGCCAGCCACGCCUCCCUAGGUUUGGGGCGUGACAAAGUGGUAUCUGAGAAGGUUGUGUCCUAGGAAGUCUAUAAAGCUGUGCCUAGUAGAGUCCCACUUAUGGGUGUGUUGCGCUCCACACUUAUAAUUGAGAAGCUAUAGGGCAUUUAUGAAAUGUUACCCUUUUUUUGUUUCCAGAUCGUGCCAUAGAGCUGAGUUGUAAGAAGUCUGUAUGAAGCUUUCACCGGAUUUUGUAUGCACUAGAGGUGUAAGUAUCACAUUAGAGCUUUAAGGCGUGGAUGUAAUUUCCACCUAUGUGGAAGGGUGAUUAUGAAAGCAAUAGAAGAAACAAUGUAAGACUGAAUAAGGUAAAGGUGAAGAAGAUACGAGAUACUCAAGUACAAAAGGUUGCGAAUUGUCCAGACUUCAGAUAGAGGUUAGGUUUUAGUUUAGUUUACAGAGGAGACUUUGGCAAAAAUUUUGUAAGUUUCUAAGAGUUAACAUUCGAGGACGAAUAUUUCUAAACGAGGGAAGGAUGUUACAUCCCAUACUUUAAUAUUAGGAUGAGUUGUAGUAAUUUAUACGAGCUUGAAGUGAUUAAGAUCAUUCAUAAGGUUAUAGAGGAUUUGUGAUUAUAUUAUUAUAAGACCCCGCAAGUUUAACAACCUUGAUAACAUUAUACACAUUUGAUAUAGUAUUUUGAGUGGAGCAUUUUUGUAAAAAAGUUUGAAAAAUAUGAUUUUAUAUAGUUAUUAAUAUUACUACUUUCGAAUAUGCUUUAAAUUAUACACAUAAUAUGAGAAAGUUUAUGAGAUUUUCUUUAUUGUAAAUAUAGAAAUUAAUUGUUAUACGACCCUCGAUCUGAUGAUGUUGGCCGAGCUACCUGGAUCAAUCAACACACUCUUAACUCGAGAUUAAUUUAUAAGUAUAGAUAUUACCAGUGCAUCAUUAUGCGGUUGUACGAUGCCUUCGACAUCCUCAUCACUGAACGAAAUGGUUUCCUCCAGUAUAUAAUCUCGGGUUCAUUUUUUCCUAGUGAUGGACACCUUAGUGCGCUUUAGCAUUGGUCCUUGGUGGACAUCGACUCCUCCAAUGAUCAUGUUGAUGACAUGCUAUGAUUUUUCUUGUUCGGUCUAAUUUUUAGAGUCUCUAUUCCUAAAGUGAUUUUUGGCUCGAUCACUCGGAAAUUCCCGAAAAUGUUCGUUAUUGAACAACCGGGCCACUUCUUCUUUUAGUUGUCGGCAAUCCUUAGUUCUAUGGCCAUGAGUGCCACGAUACUUACACAUCAAGUUAGGAUCUCUCUGGGCAGGAUCGGACUGCAAUAGUAGGGGCCACUUGGUAUCUUUAAUGGGCCUGAUGGCAUAUACGAUGCUGGAAGCAUUGACAUUGAAGUUAUAUUCCGAUAACAUGGAAGCAUUGACAUUGAAGUUUUCUUUAUGUUUUGUAAUUCUUGUGUUGGUUUACUUGUUAUACUCCCGUGUUAUUGUUGUUGUUAUGGUACUCAGUGUUGUUGGGUCGAGGGAUAUGUAUGGUUGUGCUAUUAGAAUUGUUUCGAGGAAAUGUUGUGGCAUAUGUGGUGCGAGUUGUUAUAUUAUGUUGUUAUGUUUUUGGCACACGUGGUAUUGUUGAAAGGAUUGUUGGGGUGUUCGCACGUGAGUUGUCCGUGCUAUUGUUAUAUGCAUAUUGCACAUGCGACAUGACAAGGCGGGCUAUAUAUGUAGGUUUGCUCAUGUGGCAAGACAAGACGGAAAUAUUAUUAUGCAUGUGUGGCAAGACAAGGCAGGCAUUUACUUUAUUGUUAUGCACGUGGCGAGAGAAGAGGGGCUAUAUUGGGGAUGAAUUGUGAUGAAUUAUGAUGCCCUGUCAUAGCUUGGGGCAUUGUUUUUGAUAAAAUUUGUGUAUUGGUGAGCUUACUUUGUAUGAGUCAUGCAUUUUACGUUUUGUUGUGUUGUUUCCUAUGUACCAUUCGUUGUCUCUGAUCUUACUUGUUUACUCCAGUUGUGAUAGAAUACUUGCACAAACAUACACCGUAGUUAGUCACCAGUCGAAAAAGAUGAAACUUGAUGUUUAUUGAUCAUUUACAUGUAUUCUUUUACACCUUCCCUCUGCGCUUGAGUUGUACUAUUGGCACGUGAAUUGUCCGUGAGAUUAUGAGAUAUUGUUACUACUAUCACGUGAGUUGUCCGUACGGAUAUGAGAUAUUAUUACUCUCUUAGUCUUAGCAUGUGAGUUGCUCGUGCAGAUAUGAGGUAUUAAUGGUAUUGGCGCAUGAGUUGUCUGUGCGAUUGCAAUUUGUAAUGCGGGCACAAGAUGCCAAGUGACUAGGGUUCGUGUUUUGGGACCCGUGAUAUAUGAUUAUGAGGUGUGGUACCUCAAGGAAGUUCUUGCAUAAACCUUGUGUGAAAGUGAUCGUUUUUAUUGGUUGUUACUUGUUUUUUCUUUACUUGGUUUCACCGGGCUUUAACUGUAUUCUAGUUACUUUACGGCGUUAGUACGUGUUGCUCCUUGGUGUUAAUUGUUGUUCUAGUUCUUAUUGCAUGUAUUAUAAUCUUACCAUGUUUAGCCUUAUAUUCUUUCCUGUUAGUUUUAUAUUCAUAAUUGUACAGGUUAUUAUGUCUAGUAGAUGUCUUAAAUGUCUUUCGUUAUUAUCCACCGAGGUUAGUCUUGAUACUUACUGGGUACCGAUAUGGUACACUCAUGCUACGCUUUCUGUAUAUUUUUGUGCCGAUCCAGGUACCUCAGAGCUUGUUGAUCAUUAGAUAGUUGAUCGGAUAUUGACGUGGAGACUUCAAGGUACACUAACCGUUGUGUUUGCAGGCCUCGAAGUUACCUUCUGAAGUUUAUUUCGUACUGUUAUUUCUAUUCCGAAACAUUUGAACUUAGAUUUUUUAGUGAUCUCAGUAGAGCUUAUGACGUGUACUACCGAUCUUGGGUUGUUGUAUAUCAUGUUGGGAUUGUUGGCUUUAUAUAGAGAGAUCUUGUUCAUGUUUAAUAGUUGUUUGGUUAAAAUCGAAUAUUAAUUCAGUUAGUGUUAGGCUUACCUAGUCAAAGAGACUAGGUGCCAUUACGACAUAAACUGAGGUCGUGACAGUGUUGCUGCAAAUGUUUGGAAAUACUCUUUGGAGUUUAUAUCUCUAUUUUUAGAGAAUUUGGUGAAGAUUUAAGUUGGUUUUGGUUAGAGUUUUAGAUUGAUGCUCAACGAAGAAGAAGACAUAAAUAAAUUGUAUAUAUUUUAUUUUUUGGGUGCAGAAACGACAUAAAAAUAUAUAUUGCUAACAUAAUUGUAUAUAAUUAUGUUACCUUGUAUACAAUUGUAUUUAAAUUGUAGUUUUUGACCGAAUUUUGCAUACAAAAUUUGUAUUUAAGUUGUAGAUAAAUUGUGGAUUGUUACCAGAUUUUGUAUAUAGUUUGUAAAAAACUUUAGUUACUUUCUAUAAAUAGGAAAACUUAGAAAAUUGGAUGAAUAAGUUUAAAAUUUUGUAUAUAUACAAAAAAAAAAAAAGUCCCAAAAAUUAAACCUGAUAGAAGAAUUAGUGAAGGACCAAAACCAAUAUUGAAAAAGAACGUACAAACGCAUCUAGAGAUCAAUGAUUAUUAUCCUACAUAAAAAAAAUUACUAGAAACACCAGAGAGCUUUAUUGUAUAGGAUAGAAUGUGCUAUGCCAGAUGGCUGCUUAAAAGAAUGAUACGUGGAAUCGGAGGCAAUUAUCUCGCUUGGUACCAGAAGGAAUAACACUCAUAUAGAGAUAAUAAAUACCCUCCGUCCGGUGACAUUAAUGAAGAAUAUUUCACAUCAUUGAGUGCACUACGCGUUACAGAGAAUUUGUCAUUUAUGCUCUCUAUUACACCUUUACCAGUUGUCCUCAUAAUUGAUAUUAAAGAAGAGCACGAUCCUAUGACCUUGUUUCCUAGACGUAGCGAUAAAUAGUGAGCUCUGCUAACAUUAUAAAGAGAGAGACAUUCUCUGGCAAACUGAUACUAUAAUCUAUUCAAAGUUCUAUACAACUUUAUAUUCUCACUUUGUGUUCUUAUUAUAUGUUGCACCCGGAAUUAUUAUUUCUGCUAUUGCGUCUUCAUAUCAAGGCUAAGUAUUACAUAUCUUUUCAAUUAUUUCAUUAUUUCAAAAUCAAAUUAAUUUACUUGUCUAGAAACCACGUAUAAAUUCAAUUGUACUAUUUUACAAGUAAACAUUCAUAAGGGUAAAGUAUGGGGAUAUUAACUAAGUGCCUGCGCAAAAUUUCAGCCAUAAUCACCAUAAUAUUUACAGUGAAAAUAAGAAAAUGCGAAAUUUACAACUCUGUUCUAGCAACAACAAAUAGAGACAGCAAUGCUAGCCUGGAUGCAUAGAGACAAAUUUAGGAUGGGUUAAACGUGGAUUCAACUGAACUUAUUGUUUUCGACUAAACAUUUAGUAUAGAUAUGCAAAUAAAAUAAAAUUCUACAUAUACAAUAAGAUCAGCCAACAAAUUAAUUCUAAAUUAUGAAUUCACCUUCGAUAUAGUUGUACAAAUCAUCUUAUUAACAAUGCCAUAGAAGUGAAGCCCAAAAUCAUAGCACCAGUGAAAGCAUACACCCCUCUUUGUUUAACCAUAAUGUUAGCCGCAUAUAUUACCACCUCCGACGUGAUCUUGUUGCCAUCCUUUACAACACCUCGGCGGCGUUUUCCGGCGAAUGAUAGCAGUACAAGCACCAUAAUCCACGUUAGUACGGUGGUUCUUACGGCCAGAACAAUAAGUGCUCCAACAAGGAAGGCGGCAGCUGCAGCAGCAAAGACAAGUGGGACAACUGAGGAGGCUUCUCUGUUUACAGAGGGCAGGAUAAGAAUAGACGUUACUGUAACAUUCAUCUCUUUUGUUUUCUGAAAGUUUUUUAAUGUAGAGAUUAAUGUUUGGAGAGGAACAAUGGAGCUGCAAGUCGUGGCUGUUAUUUAAUCAUGAAAAAGGUUUCCUAGGGAAAACCAAAGGCAAUUCUUGAUAGGAUUAGGUGGAGAAAUAGGGAAUCGUAAGGCAUGUGGCACAUGGCAGGGUUGGCAAAUCAUUCUUCCUAAGUUCAUAGUAUCACUACUCAUGUUUUCUAUAAUCAAGUGGAUUAAUUUAUAUUUUCUUGGAAAGAUCUCGCAUAUAAUUGUCACAACCUGAUUUUCUAGGUGCAUUUUAAAACGUUUCUGAUGAAAAAUAUUAAUGUUUGCGUUCUAAUUUAUUUGAACCUGUUUGAUUAGGCACGAAGUUUAAGAAAAAAUGAAGAUUUUUGGAAUUUGUGGUCCUAAACAAGUCAAAAGUGGCCCAGAGUAUUUGUGUGGUUAUAAAAGCUUCUCAUUAAGGGUAGAAUCGUAAGUUUAAGCUAAAUUGUUACCAAAUUUAGAAAGGGGUCAUUCUUUUCGAAACGGACAAAAAAGGAAAUAGGUUCAUAUAAACUGAAACAGAGGGAGUAGAAAGGAAGUCUUAGCAUAACUGGUAAAUUGCAGUCAUAUGAUUAGGAGGUCACAAGUGCUAGCCGUGGAAACAACCUCUUGCAGAAAUGCAAGGUAAGACUGUGUAUGAUAUACCCUUGUGGCUAGGCCCUUCCUGGGACUUCGCGCAUUGUAUGGGUCCAAAUUUGAACAACUACAACCAUCGACGAGUACAACGAAACGGCGAGUGCCCCAUAACCUGACGCCUUGCAGAGGACGACCUUGAGACAAACAAGAGAUUGUACGACCCUUGUAAUAGUAUAGGCCCGUUAGGGGAUACUAAGAAUAUUCCUUCGAAUAUUCUUUAUAAUCAGUCUUUUACAACUUAGAAGAGACUGACUCCCUAUAUAUAUAGUGAACCAUAACUUUGUAAAGGGGGGAUUCAGGGUAUUGGCCAUAAUUCUACUUAUGAAUGAGAAGUGUUCUUGAAAGGAUUUUACUUGUUCAGAUUGAUAAAGAAAUCUUAUUACCCGUCUUCUCCUUAUCCAUCUUUCCAUCUAGAGAUUAUUAUACUUAGCUAAGAUUUACCUCUUCAUCUUUGAUUGAUUUGUUCAAAAAGGUUUCAAUAUCUUUUGAGUCAAACAAUUUGGCGCCGUCUGUGAGAAAUUCUAUAGCUGAAAUCGUAGUUUUCAUCUAGAUUCUAGAAAGAAAUAAUUACUUUUCUUUAGCUUCAUAAAGGCCAACAAUGGCGGAAAAGGGAGAAGCAAGGCUAAAGGCAAUAGUGGGUGUCACAAACAACCUCUUAAAUUCCCUCAACGAAGCAAGUGGAGAAGAUAACGAAAAUGCAACACCAAGUGUUACACCUGAGGGAGAGAUCUCACCUCCCCUGCACGAGGAUCUAACGAUCUUGCGCGAGAGGGAAACCUCAGCAGGAGAAAUGCCACCGGUCAUCAAAAGGCUAUUAGAAAAAUACCUUGAACAGCUUGCUCGAGAAACCCGUUCGGGGAGAUAUCGAAGACACAUUACCAACAGAAACCGUAGCUGCUGCCGAUGAGCCAAAUACUACACGAACAGGUAACACCCGUACUAUUGCUGAUGCAAGUGACGAUGCAUUUACAACCAUCUUAAAGAAAAUGGAAGAGAUGGAAAAUGAAAACAAAACACUCCGCGACCAGAUGAAGGAACAUCAGGAAAGGGUCAAUAAACUACCAGGCGCUCCGAAGUUGUUACCAAAAUGCGAUGUGGGACAAUUCGUCGAACAACCAUAUAGCGAAGGGAAACUCCCCAUUCUAUUCCAAAGACCUUCAAAAUGCCGUCAUAUCUAAAAAUAUAUGAUGGCUCACGGACCCGGAGGAUCACUUAAUCCAUUACGUUACCGCAGUAAAAGGUAAUGAUUUAUCAAAGGAACAGGUGUCGUCUGUACUGCUGAAAAAGUUCAGCCAAACUCUGACAGGGGGAGCGUUGACAUGGUAUUCCCAACUACUAUCGUGCUCGAUUCAACGUUCAAAGAGAUGGCAGAUAAGUUCGUCACCACUCACGCGGGAGCGAAAAAGGCAGAGGCUAGGGUCAAUGAUAUCUCCGUCGUCAAACAAACGAUGGGAAAGGGACUUCAGGACUUCCUAGCCUGAUUCAAUAGGGUAAGGAUGAGCCUACCGAACGUGUCAGAAGGAAUGGCAGUAGCAUCCUUUCAAAAUGGGCAGAACAGAAACGGGUCAAAAGCAACCAAAAAGCUACUAAGUAGACUCAUGAAGUACCCUCCUACCACGUAGGAAAAAAUCCAUAAUGCCUAUUGCGUCGAAGUGAGGGCAGAUGAUGAUGACCUGAACGGUCCGCUCCAGCAAUUAACAUCAGUCCAAACCGAGACAAGGACAGAUCGCCGCAACGACAGUCGAAGGGAUCAACUACUACGUUUCAAUCGAGAAAGGCACCAGCCCUAUAUCCGAACAUCCAAUCCACCUUCUCCACGACACGUGGACGCCGCACCUCAACAUACUGCACCCCCUCCCCCCAAAACAAAAGAGGUAUGCCUCCACGGUUAUUUACUCAUAACUUUUGUGUUUCUCCUUCAGAAGUAGUGUACGCACUAGAAAAGCUCGGUACGAAGGUGCAGUAGCCGCAAAAGAUGAAGUCGGAUCCGAGCACCAGGAGGUCGAACAUCCUGUGUGAAUUCCACCAGAAAAGAGGAUACUAGACCGAAGACUGCAUAGGUCUGCGACAAGAAGUGGUCAGAAUGUUAAACUAGGGAUGCCUGAAAGAACUUCUGAGCGACCGAGGAAGGGCCAACUUCGGUUGUGGACGAGAUCAACCUCAAGGUCCUCCAAAACCACCAUCACUAGCUCGUACCAUACAAAUGAUCAUUGGCGGUAGUGACGACACAAUAAUCAACCAUGUGAAAUUCACCACCAUACAUAAACUCAAAUGGACGGAUGCCCACGAACGGUAUGAUGACCUCGAAGACAGUAUCAUCUUCGAUAAGUCGGAUACUGACGGUUUGUCUUUCCCUCACUAUGAUGCUUUGGUUAUAACUUUAUGCAUCGCAGAUACUGAUGUCAAAAGAAUAAUGGUGGAAGACGGAAGUGGCGCGUGUAUUGUUCACUCACGAGUUCUCAUAUAGAUGAGGCUCGAGGAUAAAAUAAUACUGCGUUGCAUAACACUAACGGGUUUUAAUAAUGCAGUGGAACGAACCUCAAAGGAAAUAGUGCUGCCCAUCCUAAGCUUUUUGGACGCCUAUUCCGGUUACAACCAAAUUCUAAUGGCUGAAGAAGAUCAAGAAAAGACCACUUUCAUCACUCACUGAGGAACGUACUGCUACAAGGUAAUGCCAUUCGGACUCAAUAAUGCAGGGGCGACAUAUCAAAGGUUAGUCAACAAGAUGUUCAAAGAACAACUUGGUAAGACCACGGAAGUUUACAUCGACGACAUGCUAGUAAAAUCGACAAAGAAAGAGGAUCACAUUGGCCAUCUGAAGGAGGCGUUCGAGAUAUUGAGGCAAUACGGGAUGAAGCUGAAUCCCGAAAAAUGCACCUUUGGCGUAACUUCAGGAAAGUUCCUUGGUUUUCUAGUGUUACAAAGGGGUAUCGAGGUCAACCCGGACCAGAUCAGAGCCAUCGAAGGAAUACCGGAGGUAUUGACCAGCAAAAAGCAGGUGCAGAAAUUAACAGGACGAAUAGCCGCCUUGUCGAGGUUCAUUUCACGAUCAUCGAAUAGAUGCCAUAAAUUCUUCAAUGUGCUAAGGAAAGACCAUGGAAUGCAGAAUGCGUCGAUGCCCUGAGAAAACUGAAAGCGUAUCUAUCUUCGCCACCCAUACUCGUCAAGGCAGACCCAAGUGAAUGUCUACUUGUGUAUCUAGCAGUCUCUGAAGUCGCUGCAAGUGCAGUCUUGGUAUGUGAAAACGAAGGUACGCAAUCUCCGAUUUACUAUAUCAACAAAACCUUAAUCGAUGUCGAAACAAGGUACCCUCACCUUGAAAAACUAGCUUUGGCAUUAGUCGUAGCUUCACGAAAGCUUAGACCAUAUUUUCAAUGUCACCCCAUAAAAGUGGUGACAACCUUCCCCCUGAGGGGUAUCCUACACAAACCCGAGUUAUCAGGUAGAUUGGCCAAAUGGGCCAUAGAACUAAGCGAUCAUGAUAUAACAUACCAACCGCGAACUGUCAUUAAGUUGCAGGUGCUUGCCGAUUUUGUCACUGAUUUCAGUGCGAAAAUAUUGCCUGAAGUAGAGCAAAAAGCUCCGCGCUUCCGCACACACCGACCUCUGGGUCCUCUACACCGACGACGCUUCUAAUGCCUCGAGAUCAGGACUAGGACUCUUCCUUGAAGUUCCUACGGGCGAAGUAAUUCGCCAGUCCAUACGAUGCCCCGAGAUGACUAACAAUGAGGCCGAGUAUGAAGCUGUGAAUACAGGCAGCCAGAUAUAACCUUGUAAACGGCGAUCUCUACAAAAGAACGUUCGGCAGCCCCCUGGCCAAAUGCCUUGGGCCAAACCAAACAAGACGAGUACUGGAAGAAAUACACGAAGGACACUUCGACGCCCACAAGGGAAUCCGCGCCAGAUACUACUGGCCCACCAUGAAAAAAGAAGCUGCAAACUACGUUAGAAGAUGCGAACAGUGUCAGAAGUACGCUCCUAUGAUACAUCAAGCAGGGGAACUCCUCCAUUCUGUCACUUCACCAUGGCCAUUCAUAAAGUGGGGGAUGGAUAUAGUCGGACCCCUCCCAGCCGGACGAGGUAAGGUACGUUUCCUUUUAGUAUUAACUGAUUACUUUUCUAAAUAGGUGGAAGCAGGUGCAUACAAACAGAUACGUGAGCAAGAGGUCAUCGCGUUCAUAUGGAAAAACUUAAUAUGCCGUUUCGGCAUCCCCAAAGAAAUUAGCUGCGACAACGGACCUCAGUUUGUCGGAAAGAAAACGACCGAGUUUUUCAAGAAAUGGCACAUCAAACAAAUACUCUCCAUGCCAUAUCACCCUGCCAGUAAUGGUCAAGCCGAAUCCGCCAAUAAAGUAAUACUGAAUAUAUUGAAUAAGAAGUUUGAGGACGCCAAAGGGCUAUGGCCUGAACUACUAUUGGAAGUAUUAUGGGCAUACCGUACCACACCAAAAACCAGUACUGGUGAGACGCCAUAUUCACUAGUCUAUGGGACUGAUGUAGUUAUACCCAUCGAGGUCGGAGAGCCUAGUUUGAGAUACUCCAACGAGAGCGGACCAAGCAAUGACGAAAGUAGGCUACAAGAUCUGGAUGAAGUCAAAGAACGGAGAAACAUGGACCAUAUAAGAAUGGUAGCCCAGAAACAACAAGUGGAAAGCUACUACAACAAGAAGGACAAAGUGCGACCACUCAAAAUUGGAGAUUACGUCCUCAAGGCUAAAAUAUAAGCAGCGAAAGACCCCAAUGAGGGAAAACUGGGAACAAACUGGGACGGACCAUACAAAAUCACAGCUGCAGCAAACAAAGGAGCAUUCCAGUUAGAGACAAUGGAGGGAAAAUUACUCCAAAACAACUGGAAUGUCGCCCAUGUCAAAUACUUCCAAUUUUGAAAGAAGGCGCCACCUAAGUCGUAAUCAUUUUCCCUCAUCCGGGUUUUGUCCCAAUCGGGUUUUCCCGGCGAGGUUUUUAAUAAGGCAUCAAGGGAGACAUCUUGAGGUUCUAAGUAUUGUUCAUUACCCCGCCCGUCGACAUGAUCUUCGGAGCAAAGUAAUGAAGGGACUGGAUAUAAUAAUCAAAUCUCCAUUGUAUGUACAAAGUCGACAUGUGAUUCUUACAAGAAUAUAAUCAAAUCUCCAUCGUAUGUAUAGAGUCGACAUGUGAUUCUUACAAGUAUAUAAUCAAAUCUUCAUUGCAUGAAUAAAGUCAACAUGUGUCUUCCUACGGGAAAAUGAUCAAACCUCAAAUGAGAAAUGGCUAAGGCUAUCGACGAAAAUAUGAGUUUGACCUCGUUCGAACUACGACGGGAUACUACUUCGGCGACAGUUCGAAGCAACAUCCCAAUGGCCAAGGCCAUCGACUAAAAUAUGAGUUUGACCUCGUUCGAACUACGACGGGAUACUACUUCGAUGAUAGUUUGAAGCAACAUCCCAAUGGCCAAGGACAUCGACAAAAAUAUGAGUUCGACCUCGUUCGAACUACGACAGGAUACUACUUCGACGAAAGUUCAAAGCAACAUCCCAAUGGUCAAGGCCAUCGACAAAAAUAAGAGUUUGACCUCAUUCGAACUACGACGGGAUACUACUUCGACGAUAAUUCGAAGCAACAUCCCAAUGGAUAAGGCCAUCGAUNNNNNNNNNNNNNNNNNNNNNNNNNNNNNNNNNNNNNNNNNNNNNNNNNNNNNNNNNNNNNNNNNNNNNNNNNNNNNNNNNNNNNNNNNNNNNNNNNNNNNNNNNNNNNNNNNNNNNNNNNNNNNNNNNNNNNNNNNNNNNNNNNNNNNNNNNNNNNNNNNNNNNNNNNNNNNNNNNNNNNNNNNNNNNNNNNNNNNNNNNNNNNNNNNNNNNNNNNNNNNNNNNNNNNNNNNNNNNNNNNNNNNNNNNNNNNNNNNNNNNNNNNNNNNNNNNNNNNNNNNNNNNNNNNNNNNNNNNNNNNNNNNNNNNNNNNNNNNNNNNNNNNNNNNNNNNNNNNNNNNNNNNNNNNNNNNNNNNNNNNNNNNNNNNNNNNNNNNNNNNNNNNNNNNNNNNNNNNNNNNNNNNNNNNNNNNNNNNNNNNNNNNNNNNNNNNNNNNNNNNNNNNNNNNNNNNNNNNNNNNNNNNNNNNNNNNNNNNNNNNNNNNNNNNNNNNNNNNNNNNNNNNNNNNNNNNNNNNNNNNNNNAUCCCAAUGGCUAAGGCCAUCAAUGAAAAUAUAAGUUCGACCUCUACGACGGGAAACUACUUCGACGAUAGGUCGAAGCAACAUCCCAAUGGCCAAGGCCAUCGACGAAAAUAUGAGUUCGACCUCGUUCGAACUACGACGGGAUACUACUUCAAUGACAGUUCGAAGCAACAUCCUAAUGGCCAAGUCCAUCGACGAAAAUAUGAGUUCGACCUCGUUUGAACUACGACGGGAUACUACUUCGACGAUAGUUCAAAGCAACAUCCCAAUGCCCAAGGCCAUCGACGAAAAUAUGAGUUCGAACUACGACGGGAUACUACUUCGACGACAGUUCGAAGCAACAUCCCAAUGACCAAGGCCAUCGAUGAAAAUAUGAGUUCGACUUCGUUCGAACUACGACGGGAUACUGCUUCAAAGACAGUUCGAAGCAACAUCCGAAUGUCUAAGGCCAUCGAUGAAAAUAUGAGUUUGACCUCAUUCAAACCUUGACGGGAUGCUACUUCGACGACAGUUCGAAGCAACAUCCCAAUGGCCAAGGCCAUCGACUAAAACACGAGUUCGACCUCAUUCGAAACAUGACGGUAUCCUACUUCGACGAUAGUUUGAAGCAACAUCCCAAUGGCCAAGGCCAUCGACCAAAAAGGGGAUCGACCUCGUCCAAAAACUAAGUCGACUUAACAACUCGACAUAUAUCCCGGAUAUCAUAGACAUUGCAAAAGACACCAACAAAUUGGAAAAAUAUAUUCUACAUUACAUCAAAAUGGUAUGUACACCUAUUCUUACAAACGGGCUAAAGCACGCCCCCUACAAAAAGCCCAAAAUUAACAGUAAGUACAAACAAAAGAUUACGCAUCAUCCCCGGCGGGGUUAGUAUCCUCGUACCAAGAGUCCGAAGCAAGACGAUUUGUAUAAUCAGAGUUGAUGUCAUCCACGUCAGGUGUAAGAGGGUCAUACCCGCAUGGCUCACGAGCCACACGAGCUUCGGUAUGCACGGCCUAAAGCUCCGCUUCUAUUGCCCUCCUCUCGGCGUGAAAAGCCUUGUACACAUCAAGACGAGCCUCAGUAAGGACCCGCAACUCAUAUAAACGACGAGGCAUGACCGUAUCAGCUGAGGCACGAGACGUAAAAGGCUGAGAGCGUCGACUUGCAUACUCCACCCUCAGCGAGGCCACUUGUUCAUUCAACGCAGAUAGCUCCACCUCCAGUUAUUUAACACGCCCCCAAGCCCCACGACCCUACGAUUAUAGGCCUCCGUCUCUUCAGUCAGCUCCGACCUACAAACACGGAGGUCAUCCUCCAAAGAUGCAGUUCCAGAAAUAGCUUCCGCAAACUUAUUAGCACCGACAUUCAGCUUGCCCUUAAGCCCUUCAACCUCCACCGCCUUCGCACUUAAUUCAGCGGUCAAACUGGCCACCUUUACUUGCAGGUUUUCGUCCAUCACCCCCCUGCUCAACUCAAGAUCGUCCUCUUUCACCUUAAGGGAAGCCUCGAGUUCACUAUUAUAGGCAACAGCCUUCCUGAGCUCCUCAUCCCGCUCCCUCAGCUCUUCAGUCUUACGCUCCAAUUGGCCCUCCCUCUAUUUGAUCCCCUCGCAAAACAAUUGAAAUUUAGGGUCCUGAUUAUAAAUGUCAGCCAUCGCGUGGUGCUUAGCACGAUACCAUUGAUACUUAGACGACAUCUUCUCAUAGAUGGCCAUCCUCCUCCUCUCCCAACGCUCUCGCUCGGUCUCCAUAAUGAGGGUCUGAUACAAAGGAAAAGGAGAAGUUAGAAACAAAAUACAAGUCGUCGAUCACCAUACAAGCCCAAUGAUGAGGAGGAAAGGAAAGGCACUUACACGCAAGGACAUACCAGCGAUGUUCUGAGACAAUUCCAUGUCGCUCAUCGCCGUAAGCACCUCGUUUUAGGGGGCAGCACAUAGAGGAGCUAAAACAGCCGCCACUUGCUCACAGUUCAGCAGCAGGUUAUAGUACCCUAGGACGACUAUGUGAUGAUCAGCCCCUUCCGCUCUGACCUCCACGUGAGUAUGGCAACUACGAACUCGUUGACAUCCUCCGGGUCGACAUCUGAACCUGAGUCAUCACCCUAGACACGACGACCUCCAACAUUGGACGAUGCACCGCCCUCAGAAGAGUGCACGGAGCUAGCUCUUGGUUAAACUCCUUCCGCUUGGGGAGAUCUCCCCGAUAAAAUGGUGUCAGCCAUAAAUGUGGGUACGGGUGCCGCCUCCGAUGCCCUACUUCUAUCAUCGUCCACUACCACGCCCUUCUCGAGCUCCAUUCUCCUCCUUUUUCUCGAUAACGGUUUGUCGCCAUUGGAGGAUUUUUCCAAAAGGUGUGGGGUCGGCAUUGAAGAAGCCUCCUCCCUCACGACCACGACCCGAGAGGGACCUUCUAAUUGUACAGGUUGAGGACGACCCUCUCGAACAGAUUCACUCAAAACAAACUACGUGUUCGCGGAAGCAAGCCUGUUGGAACGCAGGGACUGGCACUCUCCGCCUGGAAGCUCCUCGACCUGUCGUCACAAAGGGUCGUAUCAAUAAACGACGUCAUAUAGCUAACGAAAUGGUAAGAGAAACACUUACCAGAUGGAACUCUAGGGCCAUAACGCUUUACGAAGGUGGGCCAAUCUCGGGUUUCCGCUGCAUGGGGCAACAGACGGGCUACCCAAUCCCUUAUGCCUACAAUAGGGUGAGGUAGACGUCCCAUAGCUGCAAACGAGAAGCACACAAACAUCAUAAUGAAUACAGACAAAGGAAGAGUAAAACAAGCGGUGAAACUUACGAAUCUCAUUCCAUUGCUCCGGGAACCUGGCAGAAUCAGAAACAAUGUGUUCAGUUUUGACGAAGAAGUACUUGUGCCAAUACUUGCGACUUACCCGGUCUUCUGUCCUGACCACCAGCCCUUUUGUGCCACGAUGCCUCAAAUGUACCAUGGUACCCCUGUGGAAACUGGGUGAGAACAGAUGCAAAAGGUGAUGGAUGGAAACGUUACAUCCUGCCAACUCUGCAUGCUUGGUCAAUAGCAGGAGUAUCUUGAGUGUAUAUGACGAAAGUUGUGCCGGGCAGAUGUGGUAGAAUCUACAGAAUUCUUUCGCUAAUGGGAAGAGAGGAAAAGUAUAGCCAAUCGCGAAAGGGUACUCCUAGAAAGCGCAGUACCCAGAUUUGUGGACCUCUACAAAAUCUCUCCCCGCCGGAACCAUAUCGACAUGAGCGGGAAUGCCAUACUUUACGCGAAGAGCAUCAAUGUGAACUUUCUCCAUCUCAGAGAGUACGGGGUCAGGUGUAGGAGGGGGUUCUUUGAGGAAGUCACUUCGAGACAUGGGAUGUCUCGGCAGUAACUCCUCCACCGUAGGAAGGCUGUCACCCUCCUCUACCACCGUAUCUUCACCUCCCAAAGGGGACACUAUGGACAAUGGGGCGGCUUCAGGAAUUCCUUCGCGAGAUCGGUGUUUCCUUUGCAUGCUUUCGUUAAAAGCGAAAAAAGGUGUUGAUACCGUAGAAGCAAGGGAGGAAGAUGAAGUUGUGAACAAAGAAUAUCAGAAGAAGAAGCGGAAGAUCGUCAGUGCUAGCUCGGGUAGAUAAGGAGGGAUAUUCAGAGAUGAAAUGGCCAAGAACUUUCGAAAAAACAAACCCUCUUCCUAUUUAUAGGAAUGGGUGGUGCCAGAAUCGAAGCGGAAGGUCACAGAGAGGCACCAGAAUCUAAGCAACAAGCCAUCAACUCUUGUCUCGAAAACACGCGUAAUGAUGACACACGUGAAGAUGACAUCAUUUUCCGGUAAAAUGUAUAACCUGGUAUCUUGCCAAGCACGCUGACCGCCCACCAUUGGCCAAUGCCAUAACGCUUCGAAGGGUCAAAUAUUCCCGUAGAAACGCAUGUUAUCCGCUCAUCGAGGACGCACCAGGUUGCAACCUCAACAGGCGGAGGGACUAACUGUAUGGGUCCAAAUUUGAACAACCACCGACGUGUACGACGAAACGGCGAGUGCCCCAUAACCUGACGCCUUGCAGAGGACGACCUUAAGACAAAUAAGAGAUUGUACGACCCUUGUAAUAGUAUAGGCCUGUUAGGGGAUACUAAGAAUAUUCCUUAUAAUCAGUCUUUUACAGAUUAGAGGAGACUGACUCCCUAUAUAUAUAGCGAACCAUAACUUUGUAAAGGGGGGAUUCAGGCUAUUGGUCAUAAUUCUACUUAUGAAUGAGAAGUGUUCUUGAAAGGAUUUUGCUGAUUCAGAUCGAUAAAGAAAUCUUAUUAUCUGUCUUCUCCUUAUCCAUCUUUCCGUCUAGAGAUUAUUAUACUUAGCUAAGAUUUACCCCUUCAUCUUUGAUUGAUUUGUUCAAAAAGGUUUCAAUAUCUUUUGAGUCAAACACGCAUAACGGGAGCUUAGUGCACUGGACUGCAUUCUAAUGGAAAUACCUUAUAAAUUUAAUUAUCUUUUAGAGUUACAUAUACUUAUAGUGGAAUGGGGAUAGGACUUGAGUAUAUCUUACAAAAAGUUUUCUAGAUAAACGCUCUGCACCAAAUUUUAGCAUUAACCGAAACAAGGGAAACGUGUAAUUAGAGCUAAGAUUCUUACAAAUGAAGUUCAAUAGGUGUAAAAUAUGUUCAUUCCGGAUAUCUUUUCAGCAUUUAAGAUAGUCAAAAAUUAAAAAAUAAAUUUUAUCAAAGAGAUCAUUUUCUCGAUUGGCUUUAUACCCCUUUUAAAAAUUUGUUUUUAUUUCUACUACAUCUUUUUACAAUAUGUCUUUUUUUCACAUAUAAAAGAUCUGAAAAUAAUAUAUAAAAAAUAUUUAUAAGAUCAUUUUUUUCUAUUUAUAAACAGUUAAAAACCCAAAAAAGCAGAGCUUUGGUCUUUGGAGCUAAACUACAUCGUCCAUAGGGGACCAUUGACCACUAGAAUUUCGGUGAACCAAUUUUUUUUGCUUGGAUUCAUUGUCAAUUGGUAAUUUGUAUUCCCAAGAUUCAUAUGAACCUAAGCAGCCAGUCGACCCAUUCAUAAUAUUUACUACUCUCUUUCAUUUUCUAUUGUACUAUUUUAAAAUUAGAUUUAUUCAGAAAAAAAAAAGCGAAUAAUACAUUUUGUGUUUGGAAAUAAUUUAAUUUUAAUUUUUUAUAUUAAUGAUUUUUUUUAUUAACCAAAUAAAUAUUAUUACAAUUUUAAAAUUAUAAGUUUUAAAGUUUUUUAGUUGCAAAAAUAUGUUAUGUUAAAGACCGCAAAUCUAAAAAAUUUCUUUUUUUUGUCUCAAAACUUUUUUUUUGAUGAACUGGAAAUUUAUUUAUUAGAAGUUACUCAUUACAACAGUUAUGAUCCUGAGAAUCAUUACAUAGAGAAGAUAAUUCAUGCAUGGCAUGCUGAUUACCAAGUUUUACUAAAUGCCUACAAACAUUAAUAUAAACAAUUUUUACAUAAAUAUCUCUCAUUUUGUCCGCCAACAUCCUGGCCAUGAUAUAGGAUGGAGGAAUAGCUAAACAACAGAGUUUAUUGAUACUAGAAAGCAUAGUUGCAUGCUUAGUCAAAAGGUGAGUCACUUCGUUGCACCUUGACGAAAGUUAUGCUGGAUCACUAUCAUGCCUGUUAUGAGGAUUAACCACCUGCAUGUAUUAAUAAUAGAAUUGUAAGUUGUGCAACCAUUGUUAAGAUAAACAAUUACCUGUGUAGCAUUCGUUUUCAAUUCCAAAGGAUAUAAUUUCAUCUCAUGAGCAAGGUGAAGUCCUAAUUGGUAGAGGGCUUGAAGUUAUGUUUGAAUAGGCGCUCUCGAGUAAGAUCUUAUUUGGAAUCCUAGGAUCCAAUCUCCAUUGAAAUUCCUAAAUAUCCCCAACUCCUCCAUUUCUCAAAACUUUAUGUCCCAAAGAUUGCCAUAGGUGGAAGUAACAAAUUUAUGCCACUACAGCCAACGUACGGCUCAUUUCUUUUUCUUGAUGUCUUUUCCCAUUCUUUUUGUUUAUUAAAACUUCUUCAUCUUGCUUUUGAUCGUCCAAACAUUGUGUCUGGUGCCUUAGAUCCACUUGUAUUUGUUCAUAUCUACACAUUAAUAUUGUAGAAUCUUAUACUGUUACAAACCACAUAAUUUCUUUUCUCUAAAUUAAAAACCCACACAUCCUCAAGGUAAGUGAAAAAUAAGUGUCUUCACUCUUUCAUUCCUAUUCUGCUAUCUAUAAAUAAAAUAUGAGCUUCCCCCAACGCUCUACUAAGCCCUCUUCUGUCAGUUAUAUUACUCGAUUGCAGAGUAAACUAUUACUUUUUCUAUAACACAUUCUAAUACAUAUGAAGAUUGUCAUAACAUUACUGUAGUCAAUUGUGUUAGACGUGAAAGAUGCAUAUUAAGAUUCCAAAAGGCAGUGGAAAUUAUAGAUCCAAAUAAGUGGAAUUUAGUAGGUCCUAAGAUACUGAAUUUAGAAGGACAAAAUUCAGUGUACAUGCUCGCAAUCUCAAUCUAAUUAAGAUAUCGCUAGAGAAAUAGUUGACAAUGUAUAUACGUGUAAAAUCGGGACUUAUGAGAACCCUGAUUUUUCGGAGGGGCAAACGAAGCAAUGAUAUAAGUAUAAGGAAUCGGGAUCAAAGCUAGGAACCUCUCGUACUAUGGCCCGAGCAAAGCGAUUACCACCGAAGCCAUCGAGGCCAUGCCCUCCAGAUCCGGUUUGAGCUCCAAGACCUCGGAAAGCAUUACCAUACGUUUGCACAAGACUAACAAAGGGUUGUGAUAUCCGUGCCCAACAGGAUAUCACGACAUAGAUUUCAGCCUGUAUCGACAACAAUCAGUAAUUAACGAAAAAGAAGAUUUUUACCUUUUCUUAUAAUUGUACUAGAGAUGAAACUCUCCUACUAUAUAAAGAGGUAAUUUUUAUUCAAGUAGGACACUAUAACACGCAUAUCAAAGCAAUAUAAACUUGUUCUAUCUGCUUCAAAGUUAUUCAAAGUUCUUAUUGUUGCUCAUAGUUCAUCAUAAAUAUUUGGCUACAAAUCGAGGGCAGAACAAUUACUAAGCUCAAAUUCGAGCUCAUACUUAGUAUCACGACUGGUUUGGUUAUUUAUUUUACCUUUAAUUCGCUUAUCUAACGUUAUUGGUCACUUGUAUUGAAUUAAUCCAGAUAUCCUUAAAACUAUUUAUAAAUUCAAUUGUUAUCCAUUUUUAAGGGUAAACAAUUUGGUGCCCAUCGUGGGGCUAAGGAUAGUAGUGGUUGUUUGAUACAAAUUUCCAUAACACACUCUAUUUUACGCUUGUUCUUUGAUAUUUUAAUUUCAGAUCAACCCAAAAAUGUCAAAUUCUCUAUCUGCUCACUUGAAUAUUGAUGUUGAGUCUGACCAUUAAGGCGAAAACAACAAUAUGGUGCCUAACAACAAGGUCCCUCCAAUUGAUUCUAACAGAGUCCCAUUGCAGACCCAGUCGAUUCUAACUCGCAUGUGGCCAUCGAUGCCAACCUGCCAACCGACCCUGAGAAUAGCGUUCGUAGAGGAGUCCGACCAACGACUCGAGGUACGCCCGAAGGUGAAGCUGACAGGUUCAAUCUGUGUGUGAUAUUCAAAAUGUUAUAGGCCCAACAGGUGGCGAUAGCACAGCUACAGAAUCAAAGUCGCGCCCCCAGUAGAAUUGAGCCCGAACUAUCCCGGGAAAACACCGGAAGAAAUGAGCAGCUCACAGAAAGGCUGGGUGAAAUUGUGACUAGUGUCAGCUCUGAAGUAAUGAAAAUGCUUGAAGCAUUAACCAAACGGGUGGAGUCAGGUGAAAAGAAAAUUGAGUCAAACGAUAUGAAAGUAGAGACGUACAAUUCCCGAGUCGAUCAAAUCCCAAGAACGCAUCCGAUAUUGAAGGUCUUGGACCCCAAGGAUCCCGAAGAAGUUUCAUAUGCCCGAGAUUCUUAAAUAUAAUAGAGCUCCAUAUCCAAAUGAGCAUGUGACCUCCUACACAUGUGCCAUCAAGGGGAAUGACUUGGAAGAUGACAAAAUUGAGUCGGUUUUGCUAAAGAAGUUCGGAGGAACUCUGUCAAAAGGAGAAAUGAUGUGGUAUCACAACUUACCCUCGAAUUCUAUUGGUUCGUUUGCUAUGCUUGCAGAUACUUUUGUAAAAGCUCAUGACAGGCCAUCAAGGUCAAGACCAUAAAAUCGGAUCUUUUCAAGAUAAAACAAAGAAACAACGAAAUGCUUCGGGAGUUCGUAUCGAGGUUUCAAAUGGAACGGAUGGACUUGCCUCCGAUUGCGAAUGAUUGGCCAUUCAGGUAUUCACUCAAGGACUUAACCCCGAACCUCCUUGGAUUCAGAAUAGUUAAAAAGAAUUUGGUAAAGUACCUAGCGGUAACUUGAGCCGACGUCCACAAUAGGUACAGUCAAAAAUCAGAGUUGAGGACAAUCAGCUCGGGGCCCUUCUGGGUCUGUUUAACCCAUCGAAACCAAUGAUAGGUCUAGGAAAGUCAUCGAUCAAAAGCCGAGACCAAGCAGAGAUCUAUACCAACUCUAUAAUAGAAAUCAUAGGGGUAAUGGAUCUAGGAGUCACCCUAAUAAGAACGAGAAGAUAAGCGAUUGGGUCCACAUUAGCUGGGGACUGAUGAGAAAAAAUGGUUUCGCUAAACCACUCUAAGCAAGGGAGGCACCAAGGUUAUCAGAGUAUAACUUCAGUAUCGAUGCUGCCAGCAUCAUGUCUGCUAUCGAACGCAUCAAGGAUGCCAAGUGUCCUCGACUAUUAUAGUCUGACCCUACCUUGAGAGACUCUAACUUGAUGUGUAAGUAUCAUGGUACUCAUGGCCACAUGACCGAGUACUACCGACAAUUAAGAGAAGAAGUGGCCUGAUUAUUCAACAUCGGGCAUCUCCGAGAAUUUCUGAGUGAUCCAGCCAAAUCGUCCAUAGCUCCUGAUGAUACCAAUGCCACCAAAUCAACGGUUGAAGAACUGGAACAAGUCAUAUCGAACGACCACCUACCAGAUCGGAAGUUAUACCUAGGCACAGGGUUAACCGCCGAGCUCAAGAAAGAACUUAUUAGUUUCCUUAAAAUUAACAUAUCUUGUUUCACAUGGUCCCAUCUUGAUAUAACAGGGAUCCCGUCGGAGAUAACCACUCACAAGUUGAGUUUGGACCCGAAGUUCCCGCUGGUCAAACAAAAUAGGAGGUCUCAGUCCGAAGUUAAGCAUGCAUUCAUCAAAGAUGAGGUAUCUAAACUCCUUAAAAUAGGUUUCAUUCGGGAAGUUAAAUACCCGAAUUGAUUAGCUAACUAGUGGUAGUGCCUAAAAAAGGAAAUAAAUUAAGAAUAUGCGUAGAUAACAAAGACAUGAACAAGGCACACCCUAAGGACUCUUUUCCUUUUCUAGCAUCGAUUGCAUGAUCGAUGCGAUGGCCGGGCAUGAGAUACUCAGCUUUCUCGACACCUAUUCUGAGUACAACCAAAUCUGUAUGGGCACGGGCAAUAAAAAAGACUUCUUUUAUCACUAAAUUCGGCACCGAUUGUUAUAAUGUAAUGCCAUUCUGGUUAAAAUAUUGCCAAUUCCCCUUAUCAAUGCCUAGUAAUCUGGAUGUUCGAAGAACGGAUAGGAAAGUCAAUGGAGGUUUAUAUUGAUGAUAUAUUAGUCAAGUCCCUGCGAGUAGAGUAUAAUUUGAAACAUUUGCAGGAAACCUUUGACAUAUUAAUUAAAGAGAUACAAUAUGAAGAUGAUCCCAGAAAAAUGCACAUUUGGGGUCAGAUCUGAAAAAUUCCUUGGCUUCAUGGUGUCCAACCGAGGGAUCGAGAUCAAUCCCGAUAAAAGCAAAGCUAUAAAAGAUAUCACCGUGGUGGACAGUGUUAAGACCAUUUAGAGGCUAACCAGCAUAUAGCCACCUUGGGCCGGUUCAUAUCGAGGUCCUAAGACAAAUGCCAUCGAUUCUUCUCAUUAUUGAAGAAGAAUAAUAACUUUUCUUGGACCUCGGAGUGCCAACAAGCUUUGGAAGAACUCAAAUGAUACAUUUUGAGUCUACCCCUGCUCUAUAUUCCGAAGGUGGAUAAGCAGUUGACCUUUACUUGGCGCUAUUUGAGGUGGCGAUAAGUGGAGCCUUAGUCGGGGAAGAAUAAGUCACACAAUGUCCUAUUUACUAUUCUAGUAUAACUCUAGGCAAGGCCGAAACAAGGUAUCUUCACAUGGAAAAAUUGGUGCUUGCAUUGCUAAAUGCCUCCAGAAAGUUAAAACCAUACUUUCAAUGACACCCCAUAUGUGUCGUAACCUCUUACCCACAGAGGAACAUCAUGCACAAACCUGAGCUCUCAGGCCAUUUGGCCAAAUGGGCAGUCAAAAUUAGAGGGUAUGAUAUCGAGUAUCGACCCCGAACCACUAUCAAAUCACAAAUUUUGGCAGACUUCGUAGCCGACUUUACAUCGGCCUUGAUACUCGAAGUUGAAAGGGAAUUAUUGUUAACCUCGGGGAUUACCUCAGGAGUUUGGACACUCUUUACGGAUGGUUCUUCGAACGCAAAGUGGCUCGGGCUCGGCAUCGUGCUGAAACCACCUACGGGUAACGUAGUUAGGCAAUCUAUUAGAAUUGUGAAAUUGACUGACAACGAGGCCGAGUAUGAGGCCAUGAUUGCAGGUCUUGAAUUGGCUAAAAAUCUUGGAGCCGAGGUGGUCGAAGCUAAUUCCCUACUUGUGGUAAAUUAAGUCAAUGGGAUGUCUGAAGUAAUGCUACAUCAAUUCAAAGAAUGGACCCUACAGCAUGUGCUCCGAAAUCAAAAUAGUGAGGCCGAUACUCUUGCUAACUUAGGGUCAUCGGUUGAUGACAAUGAAUUUAGUUCGGGAAUAAUCGUACAGCUCAUCAAGUCGGUGGCAUAAGAAGGCCAUGCCGAAAUAAACUUGACAAGUUUAACUUUGGAUUGGAGGAACAAAUACGAAAGUUAUUUGAAGACUAGGAAGUUGCUCUCGGAUCAUAAAAAAUCGAAAGCUCUAUGCACGAAGGCAGCCACAUUUAGCCUAUUUGAAGGGACUUUGUUCAGAAUAACAUUUGACGGCCCGCUCGCCAUAUGCUUGGGGCUGGGAGAUACCAAAUAUGUCUUGAGAGAAGUUCACAAAGGCACUUGUGGAAACCAUUCAGGGGAGGAAUCUUUGGCUCGAAAAUUAAUAAAGAACUGGCUAUUACUGGAUAGACAUGGAGAAAGAUGCAAAGGACUUUGUACGAAGAUGUGACGGCUGUCAGAGAAACACACCGAUGAUCCAUCAACCCGGAGAGCAACUCCAUUCGGUCUUGUCCCUAUGGCCAUUCGUGAAAUAGAGAAUGGACAUCGUUGGUCCCCUGCCGCGGGCAUCUGGUAAGGCUCAAUUCAUAUUAUUUAUGGCUGAUUAUUUUUCUAAAUAGGUCGAAGCUCAAGCAUUCGAGAAAAUUUGGGAAAAAUAAGUCAUUGACUUUAUUUGGGACCCCAUAAUAUGUCGUUUCGGGAUACCAGCCGAGACCGUGUGUGAUAAUGGGAAGCAAUUCAUCGGCAGUAAGGUAAACAAGUUUUUCGAGGACCACAAGAUUAAAAAGAUACUAUCGACACCCUAUCACUCUAGUGGGAACGGACAAGCAGAUUCGACAAACAAGAUCAUAUUCCAAAGCAUAAAAAAGAGGUUGACCAAUGCCAAAGGCAAAUGGAAGGAAAUUUUGACCGAAGUCUUGUAGGCAUGCCAUACAACUUCAAAGUCUAGUACCGGGGCCACCUCAUUUUCAUUGAUCUACGAUACCUGUUACACCCCAUAUUUUCGUACGUGAAAGUACGUCGUAAGUCAAUUGAUGUAAGCUCGAAAAUGAGAUUUUCUUUGAAAGUAUAUAAAGUUAUCUAAUAAUAUUACAUCUCAUAUUUCCGUUCAACAUACAAAGGACUAGGUUAAGGAUGAAUGCACUUAAACGGGUGAAAGGAUAUUUUGGACAAAUAAAAAUGAACUGCUUUCUUACCUGAUGAGCCUACUUCACCAACUUACUUUCCGUCCUACUUGCUUGAGCUACUCGACACAUGUCUAAAUUAUUUAAUGAGGAUGAUACACAUAUUUCAAAAUAGGAAAAGAUCCAACAUGAAUCACCUACUUGAUUAAGUAGGUGACAAGUACGUGCAUCACCUACUUAAGAGUUUGUGGACCAAAUUAAAAGGGAAAGGAAAAGGAUAGAGAUGGGCAGCCUAACCCAUCUACCCAAGCCCAUUUGUAGGGCCAUAUAUACAUAGAUAUUUUACUAAGAAAACAAUUUAGAAUUACUCUCUCUAUAUUGAAAUGUGAAGGAGCUCCAAAACAUCAAUUCAAAGUUUCUCUCAAAGUUAUCUUAGGGCUCAAAACCAAAUCCACAAGUUGGUAAGGUGAUUUCUCUCUUUGGAAGAUCAAGCUCACCUAGUUAUCUCUUUCUGCUUUGUUGUCUGGGGUAAAGAGCUUGCUUGAGCUUGAAGUAAAGCAUAGUUUGAAAAGUACUCUUGCUACCAAGGUAAGGUUUAACUCUCCUAUAUGUAUUUAAGAUCAUCUAUAUAUAUCUAGUUAAUUUGUUAAACGAAACUUGUGAAGUAGGUUGAAGUUCAUGUUGAGGUGUUUAGUUGCUGAACUAUUUUGGAGUUGAAUUUUUGAUGUUUUAUGGCUAGAAAUCAGUAGAAAUAUCUUAAGAAUACUAUUACUAUUGUGGUUGAUGUGUUUAGAAGAAGAGAAGGCUUGGAAAGUGCAAGUUAGAACUUGGUUGUUGGGUGAGAUGGUGUGGGAUAUUUUGGUGAUGCGUUGUAAUGAAUAUGAGGUUAGAUAUCUUGUUGUUUGAUUUGAGGAAAAUGAAAUGAAUAAAGGGAGGUGUGUUGAUACCCAAUUUUUCCCUGUAUAUUUUUCAUAUAUUAAAAAUACUUUCAAAAUAACAUAUUUACGCAUAUAUAAGCAUGCCCAAGUAUUUUAGUAUUUUUUCCCAAUUUUUAAAGAUUUUUAAAAUCAAUUUGUUACUCAUUUCAGCAAUAUAAAAACUAAUAAUUAUUCCCAAAAUUAUCAUUUUGGNNNNNNNNNNNNNNNNNNNNNNNNNNNNNNNNNNNNNNNNNNNNNNNNNNNNNNNNNNNNNNNNNNNNNNNNNNNNNNNNNNNNNNNNNNNNNNNNNNNNNNNNNNNNNNNNNNNNNNNNNNNNNNNNNNNNNNNNNNNNNNNNNNNNNNNNNNNNNNNNNNNNNNNNNNNNNNNNNNNNNNNNNNNNNNNNNNNNNNNNNNNNNNNNNNNNNNNNNNNNNNNNNNNNNNNNNNNNNNNNNNNNNNNNNNNNNNNNNNNNNNNNNNNNNNNNNNNNNNNNNNNNNNNNNNNNNNNNNNNNNNNNNNNNNNNNNNNNNNNNNNNNNNNNNNNNNNNNNNNNNNNNNNNNNNNNNNNNNNNNNNNNNNNNNNNNNNNNNNNNNNNNNNNNNNNNNNNNNNNNNNNNNNNNNNNNNNNNNNNNNNNNNNNNNNNNNNNNNNNNNNNNNNNNNNNNNNNNNNNNNNNNNNNNNNNNNNNNNNNNNNNNNNNNNNNNNNNNNNNNNNNNNNNNNNNNNNNNNNNNNNNNNNNNNNNNNNNNNNNNNNNNNNNNNNNNNNNNNNNNNNNNNNNNNNNNNNNNNNNNNNNNNNNNNNNNNNNNNNNNNNNNNNNNNNNNNNNNNNNNNNNNNNNNNNNNNNNNNNNNNNNNNNNNNNNNNNNNNNNNNNNNNNNNNNNNNNNNNNNNNNNNNNNNNNNNNNNNNNNNNNNNNNNNNNNNNNNNNNNNNNNNNNNNNNNNNNNNNNNNNNNNNNNNNNNNNNNNNNNNNNNNNNNNNNNNNNNNNNNNNNNNNNNNNNNNNNNNNNNNNNNNNNNNNUAAAAUGUUUUCUGACUCCUCUUCUUCUUCUCUUUGUGUGAAUCUGUCUAUGCGAUGUUUUUAUGUUCUCUUUUCUACCUCGCAUGUACUUCCUCUGUAUUCUUAUGUUUGCCUUAUUUUGCAUGUCCUUCUAUUGUGCUCCGUUCUUUCUUCUACUGGUUUCUGUAUCAUGCUUUCACAUGUUUAUCUUAUGUGUUCGUUUACCCCUAUGUUCCUUUACUGUAUUUUCUACUAAACUUUUAGGUCUUUAGUUUCCUUUUUCUGGAUUUUGUUUGAGUUCUUUGUUAAACAUGUUUCCUCUACUGUUCUCUUAAGUGCUAUACUAUCUCGUUUCUCUUCUGAAACUUUUUUAAGUUUCAAGCUUUCUUAAAACGUGUUCUUUAUGCUUCAAAUCAGCUCUUCAUUCUAUUUGCCUUCAACCUGCUUUUUUAUCUGUUUGUUUUCACAUGAAUCCCUGAAAGAGACCGCUGAGCCUGUUUCAGUUAUUUGUCUUCACUUCUCUGUAUCUAACUCGAGUUGAAAACCCUGGGAUUUGGGGGUUUUUUGGCGAGUUUGAUCUUGUGUUUUGGACUAGGGUUCUAUUUGGGACCCUGGACACUCUCAAACUCAUUCUGAGUCUAUGUACUGGAUUUGAGCCUCUUUGUUAUGACCCGGAACUCUUCUAUACUAGGCUUUUUCGCAUGAUAGUUCUUUCUUGUUCGAUAUGUUUGUAUGCUUAUUUUGCCUUCAAAAGGUUUUGUCAACUUGUGAUUGAUUCGGAAUUCCUCUUAAUAAGGUUUGAUUGAUUGUUACUGAUUUUCUUUAAGUAAAACCCUUUCCUCAUUUUUCCUGACUUGGUUCAUUCCAACAAAGCCUGCAAUUUUGAUUUUACUGGCUGUUGAGUGAUCGUCUUUCCUUAUUUGCACAAACCAUGUACCACUAGACUUUUGCCUUAAAUAACUUCUGUGUAUUUACCCUUCUUGUGCUACUUUGGAAAAGAUUUUAAUCAAACUCUUUCCUUAAUUAACUUGCCCGUUUGAAAUCAGAAUCCCUUAAUUGAAGGGAGACCUUAUGUGAUUGAUUUCAAAACUAUUUUCUUACCUUUUCUUACUUGCUUUCUGCACUAUAAAGGGCACGACCCUUCUGCACUUUUACACACUUCCAAUUCAAUACUCUUUAAGACAUUGAGUUCGAUACUCUGACAACACUUAUUGAACACUUUCAAUUUCAAUACUCCUACACUCUCAAUUCAACACUCUACUUUCUUCUGAAAUCUUCUGGUUGUGUGUUUGCAAUUUGGCUUUACUACUGCUCUUCUCUUCUUAUUUCCCUGAAACUGGUAUGUUCUAAUUUAACUUUCAGCUUCAUCCCUAUGUGUUUGCUUUACAGUCUCAACAAUCUUGUCUACUUUGCUGUUUAUGUUCUGUAAUGAAUAUGCUGUCUCUUUGCAUCUGUUGCUGUGUGAAUUCCCCAUACCCUUAUUCCCUUUUAUGUGUUUGAGUUAAAGUUCAAAGUAUGGCAAUAUCCAAAUUGUUGCUCAUGUCUGGACUUGAUCCUUUAAUGGAUUCUAACUCCCAAACAAUGUGGCUAACAGGUUGGUUGGGGUGUGCUAGCACUUUCAAUUGCUGGGUAUGAUCACCAGCCUGUCUUGGCUUUCCCCCAAAAUCUCCUCUAUGCACUUGCACUCUCUCUUAGAUUCUAAGUUCUGCCCCCCUCCUAUGAGCCUUGCUUUGGGACCUUGAGCUCCCUCUAAACUUAGACAUUUGAGGGUUGGCCCUUCCACACUGCACUAUAAUCCAAUUAUGCAAUAUAUUUGGGUGUAAGCACUGCCCGGAGUCCACUUGAGACUCUUAGGGAACUCUGACACAUCCCGAAUAGGAGAAAGGCUUUGGAAUUUGAUCUUUGGAGUUGGUUUACUUCAUGCUUCAGACAGAAGUCUGAAUCAGGCUCUCCUUAGUUGGGAUUUUUAGCUUUCUAAUGUAAUUUUAUUUUACUUUUCUUUAUUCAUUCAGGGCUGUAAUAAUUUGUAAUAACUUAUGGGGUUUUAGUGAAAAGGGGAGGGUCUCUCAUGUAUGCAUAAGGGUAGAUAUCAUGUUCACAGGUAUUUACUGUUGCAAUCAUGUCCUAUUUUCACUUCUGCAUUUUUCAUAUAGAAAUCAUGUUUACAAGUCCUGCAUUUAUGUGUUUUUCAUAUAGAAACCAUGCCUACAGGUUCUGCAUUUCAUACGUAGAUACCAUGUCUAUAGCUUCUGCAUUUCAUACAUAGAGACCAUGUCUAUAAGUUUCUGCGUUUCUGCCUAUCACAUAUAGAACAUGUCUAUAGAGUUUCCUGAAUUCUGCAUAUGCAUCUAUCACUAGGCAAACGCAUUUAUAGGUGUAGACAUGUGAUUUUUGACCCUCCCCAAGAUUUUUCAUAUUUUAGCACGUAAAUAUUUAAUUUAGGCCCAAUAUAGCUAUUUCAACUCAUUUUUACUUUUUUACUUUUAUUUUAUUACAAGAAAAUAAAAAUUACAAAAAAAAAUUAUUUUAUGUACCUUUCAUAAAGUAAAAAUAAAAUACAAAAAAAAUAGUACCUUAUUUUUAUCUUUAUAUAAUCUUGAAAUAUACAAAAAAGAGUCUUCUUAGCCCAAAAUUGAAACACAAAAGGACAUGGUCCAACCCAAUUACCCUUAGCCCAUUCUUCCCAACCCAUUAGCCCAUUUAAGUGCAAGAUUUAAUCCUAGUCAUCUAUUUCCUUCUAAUCCAAUGGUCAUCAGCCCUUCCCACUUCUAUAUAAAAUACCCAAUUAUAGAAACUCUACCCUUAAGUUUUCAAUCCCUAGACCUAAACUACACAAAAGACGGACGCCUAAAAAUCUAAAAGAAAGAAGGCGUCUGAAGAGAAACACCAUUUUUUCUGAAAAGAGGAACCCAAUCCCGGAAGAAUCCAAAAUUUCGAGCCUGAUUAUUACUCUUCCCCUCUCUAGAUUUCCUCAAUUUCAAUCUUUCCGUGUAACCCAUCAUUGUAUCAUACGUUACCUCACCAUUAAUUUAAUACCCCAAGUCCCCAACUGACCAAAAAAUGGCUUUUUCCUUUUUCAAAACAAAAUUUCCAUUUUAACUUCUCCGCACAGCAAAAUCUCCACUAUAAAAUUGUACAGAACCAAACCCGCCAUAAAAACCUAGAUCCUUACUUCCACAAUACUGCCAAAGAUAGCUAAGGUUUCUGAGUCGAGGUUACCGUUCGACAUCGCCGAGAUCACCACGGUGCUGAGAAUAAGUUGAUUCACUAGAGGUAUUUUCUUUUCAUAUUUUGUCUUUAUGACCUGUUGAAUUGUUUGAAUAAGCAUUAAAGUUUGGGGUAAUAUAUAUUGUUACUUGGAAUAUUUGUUUCUUUGGCCCUUUCUGUACUUCUUUAUUUUUGGAAAGAUGGCGUGAGGUUUGUUUCUUUUAGCUGAUGUUUUGUUUGUUUGAAUUUAUUGUUUUAAUUUCUUCACUAAUGAAUUAAUCUAAUGCUAGCUAUUAUCAUUUUGGUUUGUUUAAUAAAAAUUGAAUUCCUUAAGUAUAUAAAUAGUGACACAAAGAACAAUGUGAGCUGGGUUUGUCUAUUAGUGUUAAGCGGCUCGAUUUCAAAAGUUGAUUGGCAGUAUUAGAAACACAUAAUUUCGGAUCUUUGAUUUAUCUAAGCAUUGGGUGUUGCUGGACUAUUUUUGAAGAAAAAGGGGAAAUAAUUUGAAUUUGGGCUAAUGUAAAAAUACAGUCUGGUUCGAGGAAUUUGAUUGUGUUCGAUUGUUAUAGUUGAAUACAAAUCUCUUCUUUAAAGAAAUUUAGGCGUGCCAUUCACACAAUUGAAUCACAUAGCCUAUGACCCUCAUAUUAAGUUUACAACUAUGUGUAGAAAGCACUUUGAAUUCUCGUAGUUUGCUUUAGGCACGUUAAUUAAAUAAAGUGUCAUAGCUAUGGGUACGGUUCCUGUGACGUAGCCGUGACACACAAUUUCCAAAUCUGGGUGUGCAUUUCAUGUGACCCAAAUCCAN